RNAcentral lists this ribosomal RNA (253 nucleotides) under uncultured bacterium. Its description in RNAcentral is "partial 16S ribosomal RNA". It matches the Rfam family "Bacterial small subunit ribosomal RNA", at positions 524 to 776 of the family's 1533-position model. The record is from RNAcentral.
UACGGAGGGGGCUAGCGUUGUUCGGAAUUACUGGGCGUAAAGCGAGCGUAGGUUGUGUCGCAAGUCAGCGGUGAAAUCCCGGAGCUUAACUUCGGAACUGCCAUUGAAACUGCGAUGCUAGAAUCCCAGAGUGGGUAGCGGCAUUCCAAAUGUAGGGGUGAAAUCCGUAGAUAUUUGGAGGAACACCGGUGGCGAAGGCGGCUACCUGGAUGGGUAUUGACACUGAGUCUCGAAAGCGUGGGGACCAAACAGG